UGGAGGAGGCCGGAUCCUGGGCUGUGUCCCAGCACCCAGUGUUCCAGGGCCUGCGCUGUUGGAUUCACGCUCCCGGUCACGCAGCCCCCU
Molecule: microRNA precursor, 90 nt
Filed under: Canis lupus familiaris (dog)
Lineage: Eukaryota; Metazoa; Chordata; Mammalia; Carnivora; Canidae
Description: mir-8799 microRNA precursor family
Rfam family: mir-8799 microRNA precursor family
Source: Rfam by way of RNAcentral